UAUUAAAAUUUUAUCUAUUUUUAUUGUUAAAAACUUGCGUCAGGAGGAAUAACUAAACCGUGCCAUGUGGCUGCCACAUGUACCUCAUGUUGAUGUAUAUAGAUCAAUUUUUAAUAGUAGAAAUAGAUAAAUUUUUUAAUA
This is a non-coding RNA of Gossypium raimondii (Peruvian cotton), 141 nucleotides long. Lineage: Eukaryota; Viridiplantae; Streptophyta; Magnoliopsida; Malvales; Malvaceae. The record is from Rfam.